Molecule: ribosomal RNA, 497 nt
Filed under: uncultured bacterium
Lineage: Bacteria
Description: partial 16S ribosomal RNA
Rfam family: Bacterial small subunit ribosomal RNA
Source: RNAcentral
GAUGAACGCUGGCGGCGUGCCUAAUACAUGCAAGUCGAGCGAACAGACGAGGAGCUUUCUCCUCUGACUUUAGCGGCGGACGGGUGAGUAACACGUGGAUAACCUACCUAUAAGACUGGGAUAACUUCGGGAAACCGGAGCUAAUACCGGAUAAUAUAUUGAACCGCAUGGUUCAAUAGUGAAAGACGGUUUUGCUGUCACUUAUAGAUGGAUCCGCGCCGCAUUAGCUAGUUGGUAAGGUAACGGCUUACCAAGGCAACGAUGCGUAGCCGACCUGAGAGGGUGAUCGGCCACACUGGAACUGAGACACGGUCCAGACUCCUACGGGAGGCAGCAGUAGGGAAUAUUCCGCAAUGGGCGAAAGCUUGACGGAGCAACGCCGCGUGAGUGAUGAAGGUCUUCGGAUCGUAAAACUCUGUUAUUAGGGAAGAAAAAAUGUGUAAGUAACUAUGCACGUCUUGACGGUACCUAAUCAGAAAGCCACGGCUAACUACGUG